This 497-nucleotide ribosomal RNA is filed under the name uncultured bacterium. RNAcentral describes it as "partial 16S ribosomal RNA". It matches the Rfam family "Bacterial small subunit ribosomal RNA", at positions 28 to 507 of the family's 1533-position model. The record is from RNAcentral.
GAUGAACGCUGGCGGCGUGCCUAAUACAUGCAAGUCGAGCGAACAGACGAGGAGCUUGCUCCUCUGACGUUAGCGGCGGACGGGUGAGUAACACGUGGAUAACCUACCUAUAAGACUGGGAUAACUUCGGGAAACCGGAGCUAAUACCGGAUAAUAUAUUGAACCGCAUGGUUCAAUAGUGAAAGACGGUUUUGCUGUCACUUAUAGAUGGAUCCGCGCCGCAUUAGCUAGUUGGUAAGGUAACGGCUUACCAAGGCAACGAUGCGUAGCCGACCUGAGAGGGUGAUCGGCCACCCUGGAACUGAGACACGGUCCAGACUCCUACGGGAGGCAGCAGUAGGGAAUCUUCCGCAAUGGGCGAAAGCCUGACGGGGCAACGCCGCGUGAGUGAUGAAGGUCUUCGGAUCGUAAAACUCUGUUAUUAGGGAAGAACAAAUGUGUAAGUAACUAUGCACGUCUUGACGGUACCUAAUCAGAAAGCCACGGCUAACUACGUG